AUAGAUCGUUUCCGCCUCUACAUAGAGAUAAUAGUGUCAUCUGCGAACCAAAAUGAUGAAUUGAACUUUGGAAAAGAAAGGAAAAAAACUUUCGAUUUUUGAUCUUUACAGAAUUUCAUAGUUUGGAAGGAUUUUCAAGAUACGUUACGUAGAAAAGACUCUUUUUAAAAGAGUCUUUAGAUUCGGGAGUGUAAAAAUGUAAGUGAAACGUAAGUGGCGGAUACAGAGUUAACCUCAAAUUCAUUGUCCCUAUAUUUUCUACUUUUAGAAGAAAUUUUUAUUCAUCAUUUUUAAUAUUUCAGAUUUUCUAUUCUUGCACGAUAACGUACGAUAAUAAUCAUCACCCUUAACAAUAUUCGUGCGUGUCCCUGUGUAUCGAGCAAUAAUACGAUACGAUGGUAUCAAGAUAUCAUCGUUGACGAGAUAUAAUUCCACGCAUCGCUAUGGAAUUAAGGAGAGCAGAUUAUGGAAAAGUUUUAGGCUCGUAGGAAGUAGUACGAGGUUUGUCAAACGCGUUCGUUAUCUGGACAAUGAUUUAUGUAAGAACAAAUAUCUCCGCCCGCGAGGAUCAAGGUGCUCGACGCCACUUUAAUAACGCGGUAAUCCGUGCCCGUAUCCAUGACACCUUGGUAGCGCCAGAUACGGCGCAGAAACAAUUAUUAUUAUCCACACACAAAGGCUGUCACCUUUUAGCUAGAAUUCUGAUCCGCAACGAAUUUUACAGCCCGGCACUUAAUCACUCAGGUAGUAAGCCGACGACGAGGAGCACGGUUGACAGGGCUUUCAGAUUUCAGAAAUCGGUUGAUAAAUAUGUAAAUACCGUCGAAGGAGAGGAGGAAAAUUAUCAGAUGUUAAUUGAUGGAUCUUAUGAAAUAUUAUUUAUGAUUCGUAAUGAAAAAUUCGUAAAAUGAAAUUUUUUUUUUAAUUUCGAAAAUAAUUAAUCCAUUUAUUUAACAAAAAGAGAAUCACAAGGAAUUUUGAUGCCUCGUAUCUCGAUCGCCUUUUCGAAAGUGUUUCCUGAAAAAAUUUAUUCGCAUGAAAAUUUUAUGAUGAAACAAAAAAAAAAAAAAACGACGUAAGUUCAGCUAAUAAAAACGGGCCAAUCAGCUUAUCUGUGCGACACAUCGAGCUGUAAUUCGAGGUCUGAUUUACGCCUAUUUAUUAUUUCCAUGUGACGCGUCAGCUGAUCAUCCGCAGGGUAGCAGUAAAUCAAUCGGCAUCUCGAGAGCUGAUCAAAUAUUCUCGAAUGGAAUCAUCGUAUUUUUGACGAUGUUUUUCGUAAUACAUGGGCUAAAUGUUGGAAUGAAGAUAGGAGACGAAACGGAAAAGCCAUCAGGAAAAGUAGAGAAAAGAGAUUCAAGAGUUUCUCAAGAGAUUCUACAUCCAUUAAAUUUGUCUUCUAUGUAUAUAUUGUGAUUAUCACGAUUAAUCACAUGUUAAUUUUUUUAUACAUCAAUGUAAAAGCCUUUGAUAACUAUCAUUUCUUUGUUUCUUGAUAAGGGUGUCGUUUAGUUAGUUUAGUAGAUAUUGUUGGAAUAUAUAUGUUAGAUACAGCUUUCUAUUUCUUUCUUUUCUUUUGUAAUGAUAAAAUAGAUUCAUGGAAAUUUAAAUUUUUCUACGAACAAGAUUACAGAAAUUGUAUCAAAAGCAAUUAAAAAUCUAUUUUAUCCCUAAAAUAUCGUUACAUGUAUAUUUGCAUAUCUUAUACUCUUACCGUGCAUAAAUUUCCAUAAUCUAGUGAACGUUCAAGCAAUAGAAUCAAUAUAAUUAAAUAUCACAAAAGAUAGUUCUACGCAUCAUCUGAAUUAAAAAGAAUUCAUCAGAGGUUUAAUCAGUCUGUUCUUUUUCUUUUCUAACGUGUCCAUACUAAACUUUUCUACAUUUAAACUUUACAUAAUCAAGACUUACUUGAUUCAAACGAAGCUUUAAUUAUUGCUCAAGAAACAACAGAAAUACAAUAGGCAAUACAAUAGGCAACGAAUCAGCAUUCUAUAAAUUUGUCUACUAUUUAAACUUUCACAAUUCAAAUGGAAUUUAAUUAUCAUCAAACAUCACCAAUUUCACAUAACAACGAAUAAAUAAUAAAGAACGAAGUUAAA
This is a long non-coding RNA of Apis mellifera (honey bee), 2099 nucleotides long. RefSeq lists it as uncharacterized. The record is from RefSeq and is a predicted model, not a curated record. The transcript has 3 exons. NCBI's taxonomy places the organism in Eukaryota, Metazoa, Arthropoda, Insecta, Hymenoptera, Apidae.